Molecule: long non-coding RNA, 523 nt
Filed under: Olea europaea (common olive)
Lineage: Eukaryota; Viridiplantae; Streptophyta; Magnoliopsida; Lamiales; Oleaceae
Description: long non-coding RNA (OEUR_LNC008697)
Source: RNAcentral
AAACUGAUCUAGUAAGUUUCUCAUAUGUAUAAAUGAUCUAAUUUGAUUUAAACAUACUUUAGGAUGUGGAAAGUGUAUCAGUUUGCGGAUAAAAAUACAUUAUAGGUCCCCAGCUUAUUUUUCAAGUAGCAAGUUGAUCCUCAACCUUUAAAUAAACGAGCAAAUUGAUCAUCCAUCAUUCAUUAAUGUUUCAAGUCGGUCUCUCUACUAAAAAUAUGAUCCGAAAUUAUGCCUUCUCAGCAUUUUAACCAGAUUGAUGCUGAUAGAAUUCUAGACAGAAGAAACGAUGAAUUUGUUGCUGGUUUGAUUAAUUAGAAUUAAAAAUGGAAAGAAAAAUUUAGUACAUAAUUAAAUUAAAUCGACCAUAGCCGCAAUAAAGGAAUCCCUAUUAUUUAAUUACUGAUUAUAAUUUAAUAAAACCUUAUCUGAAUAGCGACCGGAUAUCAACAUCAUGUGUGUAUUAUAUUCGCAUAAAAGUAUCGAAUUUCUGAAGGUGGUGCUGAUGGAUACAUUUGUGCUAACA